CUUUAGCCCUGAUGGAAGCGGCAUCCCACGCAUUUUCUGCGUGGAAUAUAGCGGACAGCAGGAACUAUA
RNAcentral lists this small RNA (69 nucleotides) under Flavobacterium sp. A45. RNAcentral's name for it is "Flavo-1 RNA". It matches the Rfam family "Flavo-1 RNA". Lineage: Bacteria; Pseudomonadati; Bacteroidota; Flavobacteriia; Flavobacteriales; Flavobacteriaceae. The record is from Rfam by way of RNAcentral.